GAUGAACGCUGGCGGUAUGCUUAACACAUGCAAGUCGAACGAAACCUUUCGGGGUUUAGUGGCGGACGGGUGAGUAACGCGUGAGAAUCUGCCUUCAGGUCUGGGACAACCACUGGAAACGGUGGCUAAUACCGGAUGUGCCGCAAGGUGAAAGGUUAACUGCCUGAAGAUGAGCUCGCGUCUGAUUAGCUAGUUGGCAGUGUAAGAGACUACCAAGGCGACGAUCAGUAGCUGGUCUGAGAGGACGAUCAGCCACACUGGGACUGAGACACGGCCCAGACUCCUACGGGAGGCAGCAGUGGGGAAUUUUCCGCAAUGGGCGAAAGCCUGACGGAGCAAUACCGCGUGAGGGAGGAAGGCUCUUGGGUCGUAAACCUCUUUUCUCAGGGAAGAAAAAAAUGACGGUACCUGAGGAAUAAGCAUCGGCUAACUCCGUGCCAGCAGCCGCGGUAAUACGGAGGAUGCAAGCGUUAUCCGGAAUGAUUGGGCGUAAAGCGUCCGCAGGUGGCGAUGUAAGUCUGCUGUUAAAGCGUCUAGCUCAACUAGAUAAAAGCAGUGGAAACUACAUGGCUAGAGUGCGUUCGGGGCAGAGGGAAUUCCUGGUGUAGCGGUGAAAUGCGUAGAGAUCAGGAAGAACACCGGUGGCGAAGGCGCUCUGCUAGGCCGUAACUGACACUGAGGGACGAAAGCUAGGGGAGCGAAUGGGAUUAGAUACCCCAGUAGUCCUAGCCGUAAACGAUGGAUACUAGGCGUGGCUUGUAUCGACCCGAGCCGUGCCGUAGCUAACGCGUUAAGUAUCCCGCCUGGGGAGUACGCCGGCAACGGUGAAACUCAAAGGAAUUGACGGGGGCCCGCACAAGCGGUGGAGUAUGUGGUUUAAUUCGAUGCAACGCGAAGAACCUUACCAAGGCUUGACAUGUCGCGAAUCCUGCUGAAAGGUGGGAGUGCCUUCGGGAGCGCGAACACAGGUGGUGCAUGGCUGUCGUCAGCUCGUGUCGUGAGAUGUUGGGUUAAGUCCCGCAACGAGCGCAACCCUCGUUUUUAGUUGCCAGCAUUAAGUUGGGCACUCUAGAGAGACUGCCGGUGACAAACCGGAGGAAGGUGGGGAUGACGUCAAGUCAGCAUGCCCCUUACGCCUUGGGCUACACACGUACUACAAUGCUCCGGACAGAGGGCAGCAAGCACGCGAGUGCAAGCUAAUCCCGUAAACCGGGGCUCAGUUCAGAUCGCAGGCUGCAACUCGCCUGCGUGAAGGAGGAAUCGCUAGUAAUUGCAGGUCAGCAUACUGCAGUGAAUUCGUUCCCGGGCCUUGUACACACCGCCCGUCACACCAUGGAAGCUGGUAGUGCCCGAAGUCAUUACUCCAACCUUUCGGGGAGGAGGAUGCCUAAGGCAGGACUGGUGACUGGGGUGAAGUCGUAACAAGGUAGCCGUACCGGAAGGUGUGGCUGGAUCACCUCCUUUUUAGGGA
RNAcentral lists this ribosomal RNA (1471 nucleotides) under Nostoc sp. 'Peltigera aphthosa UK52 cyanobiont'. RNAcentral describes it as "bacterial SSU rRNA". It matches the Rfam family "Bacterial small subunit ribosomal RNA". Lineage: Bacteria; Bacillati; Cyanobacteriota; Cyanophyceae; Nostocales; Nostocaceae. The record is from RNAcentral. RNAcentral also lists the same sequence under 2 other names.